GUCUGGACGGUGUGUUCCAGGCCCAGCCUAAGGGCCUGUUUCAAAGGUCACCCCUGUGGUAUCUCAAACCAGCUUGGGCUCUGCGACAUGUAGGAUGGAAAUGGCCCAAGGCCCAGCAUGUACACCAGACAGAGGCAGUUCAGGGGGAAGUACAAGUACAAAUUGCGUUGUCUUCUUCCCUGCUGGCCUGCCUGACUACUCUGCUACUUGACAGAAUCCAGUGCACCUCCUCCAGACACUCACCAAGCAGCUGGGGAGUGUCCUGCCACCUCGGCCAUCCUAGUCCAUCCUGUCAAUGUGAAACACCUGCUCAGCUCUUCACUGAGGAGGAUGAACCUAAUGUUUUCUGGUUUUUUUAAAAAAAAUAUGGUUGUUUGUUUUGGGCUCCAGCUUCCUGCAGUAUCAGUUUCUGUCAGACCAGUUUGUUAAAAAAGCACUUUGAGUAAAUACCAGAG
This 455-nucleotide long non-coding RNA is filed under the name Equus caballus (horse). RNAcentral's name for it is "lncRNA (ENSECAG00000047662.1)". The record is from RNAcentral. Lineage: Eukaryota; Metazoa; Chordata; Mammalia; Perissodactyla; Equidae.